Long non-coding RNA from Canis lupus familiaris (dog), 1274 nucleotides. RefSeq lists it as uncharacterized. The record is from RefSeq and is a predicted model, not a curated record. The transcript has 4 exons. NCBI's taxonomy places the organism in Eukaryota, Metazoa, Chordata, Mammalia, Carnivora, Canidae.
CUCCUCCUCCAUCAGUCACCUACCCACAAGUCCCACCUAGGAGGAGGAGGAGGAGGAGGAGGAGGCAGCCGCACAACUGGAGGCAGCUGUCCGGGGAGCAGGGAGGAGGAUGUGGAGACCAUUAUCCCGGCCGACGGUCAUCUCCAUGGACCAGCUCUGGAAAUAUCAGCCUCUCAUUCACAUGGGACAGAAGCACGGAGCUCUUGGAGCAAAGGUAUCAGAAAACGGACUGAGUAAAUAUGCAAUUCUGUUUACAUUCUUCAUCUCAACAAUGAAGAAAAAUCAAUAGGCUUACAGAAUAUGGCAAUUGUACUUUUAAAUGAAGGCUCUCUAGAAGGUUUUCCUGUUUUCUUCUGAACGGUGACCUCUGAAAUGAAAACAACUGACGGAAAAACAAAAGUAAAAGUCUUGCCUCAGACCUGGCUCAGGGCCAGAGAAAGAGAGGCAGAGACACAGGAGGAGGGAGAAGCAGGCUCUAUGCCGGGAGCCCGACGCAGGACUCGAUCCGGGACUGCAGGGCCGCGCCCUGAGCCAAAGGCAGGCUAAACUGCUGAGCCACCCAGGGAUCCCCAAUAACUCCAGUUUUAAACACUUCAUCAGCCAUAAAGAGACACUAUCAAGUGCACCUUUUACAGGUGGGAGUACUGAAGCUGUCUGCAGUCACACACCUAGGAAAAAGCUGAACUGAGCUCAGAUUUGAACCCAAGCUUCUUUGACUCCAAAGUGCUUUUCUUGCCAUGUACAAUAAUGAAACAAAUCACAAUUAUACAGAACUACUCCUAGGAUUAACUGUGGACUCAAUUCUUUUUGUUUCACCCAUGCUGGUCAAGCACACACCUUUUGAUGGUAACAAGUCUCCAUGUCCACACGAAAAUCGACAUGUGUAUAUUCAGCAUGUUCUCCAGAAAUGAUUAUGUUGUGGUGAAAUGUCAUCAAUAGAUCUUUGGUAUCUUCCAAAUGCUUUUCAGAAUUUCAUCAAAUUGAAUGAUGAAUGUCUUUUAAUUAAAAAUCAGGGAAAAUUUAGCAAUGUAAUAAUAUGUUUAUGUAUGACUCAAUUUGUAAGCCUCUCCUCUCUCAGCAAUUUCCUUGACAUGUGUGCAGCCUUUUCCUGAAUCUCUUUUUACUGCAAUUAUAAUGUAUUCUUUUGGUUCUCUUGCUCCUUCUUCAGUAAAGAAGGAUAUUUUAUAUUUUUAUAUUUUGCUGGCUCUUUUUUCUCUUUAACAUGUAUGUCUCCCAGAGCUCUUAUAAAAUUCUGUUAUGUUUUUCUUUCCCAA